Molecule: non-coding RNA, 46 nt
Organism: Schistosoma rodhaini
Lineage: Eukaryota; Metazoa; Platyhelminthes; Trematoda; Strigeidida; Schistosomatidae
Source: Rfam
GCACUGCCGACGAGUCCCACGAUAGGACGAAACGGCCGUCCAGUGC